RNAcentral lists this ribosomal RNA (253 nucleotides) under uncultured bacterium. RNAcentral's name for it is "partial 16S ribosomal RNA". It matches the Rfam family "Bacterial small subunit ribosomal RNA", at positions 524 to 776 of the family's 1533-position model. The record is from RNAcentral.
UACCCGCAGCUCAAGUGGUGGUCAUUAUUAUUGGGCGUAAAGCGCACGUAGGCGGAUUGUUAAGUCAGGGGUGAAAUCCUGGAGCUCAACUCCAGAACUGCCUUUGAUACUGGCGAUCUCGAGUCCGGGAGAGGUGAGUGGAACUGCGAGUGUAGAGGUGAAAUUCGUAGAUAUUCGCAAGAACACCAGUGGCGAAGGCGGCUCACUGGCCCGGUACUGACGCUGAGGUGCGAAAGCGUGGGGAGCAAACAGG